CUGUAUCAGAGUUCAGAGUUCAUAACCACCGCCUCAAGUGGAUGUACAGAGCGGAAUGAGAAAGAAAUAUAAAAGUCGCCAGGAUCAAAAUGGAGUCACUUAGGUCAAUUAUAUUUGUUAAAGUAAAAAACGCCAGUAAGUUAAGAAGGAAGGGCUGAGUUCUUAUAUUUGAGUAUCUGGUAACAGUUCUCCUAGGCUGCUAGCCUCUGCAGAUGCUACCAACGCGUCCUGUAGCAUCCACAGGAACAUCUGCCCAACAACUGGCUUCUCAGUCUCAGACCCACACCAGUCACUGCGGCAAGGACUAUUGUUUCAAAAUAGCUCACGGACUCCUCUCCAUUCGGACGGAGGUGCUUCAAAAGCAUAGCUGUUUGACUGCGCAUGUGCAGGCUGCGUUCUCGUUGUGGCAUUCAACCCCCUUCAAGGAAGAAAGUUCCAAAGAAGUACCACUAUGCCUCGGAGAAAACCUCGCUUGUUUCUUCUUUACGCUUGAGGUGGCAGUAACAUCUGGACACAAAUACGAGCAGACAAAACCAAUAUGAUACGAAUAGCUCAGGCUUCUCCAGACCCCGCGGUGCGCAAGAGCUCAGACUUCUCCAGACCCUGCGGUGCGCAAGCUUUUGAUCAGCCAUGGGG
Molecule: long non-coding RNA, 636 nt
Filed under: Rattus norvegicus (Norway rat)
Lineage: Eukaryota; Metazoa; Chordata; Mammalia; Rodentia; Muridae
Description: long non-coding RNA NONRATT026280
Source: RNAcentral